GAUGAACGCUGGCGGCGUGCCUAAUACAUGCAAGUCGAGCGAACGGACGAGAAGCUUGCUUCUCUGAUGUUAGCGGCGGACGGGUGAGUAACACGUGGAUAACCUACCUAUAAGACUGGGAUAACUUCGGGAAACCGGAGCUAAUACCGGAUAAUAUUUUUGCACCGCAUGGUUCAAAAGUGAAUGACGUUCUUGCUGUCUCUUAUAGAUGGAUCCGCGCUGCAUUAGCUAGUUGGUAAGGUAACGGCUUACCAAGGCAACAAUGCAUAGUCGACCUGAGAAGGUGAUCACCCACACUGGAACAGAAACACGGUCCAGACUAAUAGGGGAGGCAGCAGAAGGGGAUAUUCCGCGAUGGGCGAAAGCCUGACGGAGCAACGCAGCGUGAGUGAUGAAGGGAUUCGGAUCGUAAAACUCUGUUAUUAGGGAAGAACAGAUGUGUAAGUAACUGUGCACAACUUGACGGUACCUAAUCAGAAAGCAACGGCUAACUACGUG
This 498-nucleotide ribosomal RNA is filed under the name uncultured bacterium. Its description in RNAcentral is "partial 16S ribosomal RNA". It matches the Rfam family "Bacterial small subunit ribosomal RNA", at positions 28 to 507 of the family's 1533-position model. The record is from RNAcentral.